This 482-nucleotide ribosomal RNA is filed under the name uncultured bacterium. RNAcentral's name for it is "partial 16S ribosomal RNA". It matches the Rfam family "Bacterial small subunit ribosomal RNA", at positions 30 to 507 of the family's 1533-position model. The record is from RNAcentral.
AUUGAACGCUGGCGGCAUGCCUUACACAUGCAAGUCGAACGGUAACGGGCCUUCGGGUGCCGACGAGUGGCGAACGGGUGAGUAAUACAUCGGAACGUGCCCGAUCGUGGGGGAUAACGAGGCGAAAGCUUUGCUAAUACCGCAUACGAUCUACGGAUCAAAGCAGGGGACCGCAAGGCCUUGCGCGGACGGAGCGGCCGAUGGCAGAUUAGGUAGUUGGUGGGAUAAAAGCUUACCAAGCCGACGAUCUGUAGCUGGUCUGAGAGGAUGAUCAGCCACACUGGGACUGAGACACGGCCCAGACUCCUACGGGAGGCAGCAGUGGGGAAUUUUGGACAAUGGGCGCAAGCCUGAUCCAGCCAUGCCGCGUGCAGGAUGAAGGCCUUCAGGUUGUAAACUGCUUUUGUACGGAACGAAAAGCCUUCUUUUAAUACAGGAGGGUCAUGACGGUACCGUAAGAAUAAGCACCGGCUAACUACGUG